AUGCGUCCUCGUCCGCUUUUGCAUGUUGACCGCCUUAGUCUUUCAAGCGUUGGCGUUGUUGUUCUUGGGCCGACUUCUUAUCUUGAUGUUGUUCAUACCAAAUGGCACCUUAUCAUGGUAGAGGAUAUUGCUACUAUUGAGCGCAUCGGCACGUGGGAUAUUGUUUCUCUUCCUCCUGGUCUGUCUCUUAGCUUGAUGUCAAGAAUGGCUACAUGUAGCCACCACCUGGGUCUCUUCCUGAGGGCAUUGUUUUGUCAUCUUCGUCUCUCUCUAUAUAUAUAUGGCCCUAAGCAAACCCCUCGUGCCUAA
This 309-nucleotide ribosomal RNA is filed under the name Triticum aestivum (bread wheat). Its description in RNAcentral is "partial small subunit ribosomal RNA". The record is from RNAcentral. Lineage: Eukaryota; Viridiplantae; Streptophyta; Magnoliopsida; Poales; Poaceae.